GAUGAACGCUGGCGGCGUGCCUAAUACAUGCAAGUCGAGCGGAAGGACGAGAAGCUUGCGUCUCUGAGGUUAGCGGCGGGCGGGUGAGUAACACGUGGAUAACCUACCUAUAUGACUUGGAGGACUUCGGGGAACCGGAGCUAAUACCAGAUAAUACUUUGAACCGCAUGGUUCAAAAGUGAAAGACGGUUUUGGUGACACUUAUAGCUGAAUCCGGGUUGCAUUAGCUAGUUGGUAAGGUAACGGCUUACCAAGGCAACGAUGCAUAGCCGACCUGAGAGGGUGAUCGGCCACACUGGAACUGAGACACGGUCCAGACUCCUACGGGAGGCAGCAGUGGGGAAUCUUCCGCAAUGGGCGCAAGCCUGACGCAGCCACGCCGCGUGAGUGAUGAAGGUCUUCGGAUUGUAAAACUCUGUUAUUAGGGAAGAACAUAUGUGUAAGUAACUGUGCCCAUCUUGACGGUACCUAAUCAGAAAGCCACGGCUAACUUCGUG
RNAcentral lists this ribosomal RNA (497 nucleotides) under uncultured bacterium. RNAcentral describes it as "partial 16S ribosomal RNA". It matches the Rfam family "Bacterial small subunit ribosomal RNA", at positions 28 to 507 of the family's 1533-position model. The record is from RNAcentral.